Long non-coding RNA from Oncorhynchus keta (chum salmon), 2352 nucleotides. RefSeq lists it as uncharacterized. The transcript has 2 exons. NCBI's taxonomy places the organism in Eukaryota, Metazoa, Chordata, Actinopteri, Salmoniformes, Salmonidae. The record is from RefSeq and is a predicted model, not a curated record.
CCCCACACACACAAUUUAAUGAAUUCCCUUGCAUUUCAUUUUCACAUGUUGAGUUGAAAUGUUCACAUGUGAAAACAAAAGAGACACAUGCGAGGUCAGUUGUUCACAUGUGAAAACAAAAAAGACACAUGUGAGGUCAGUUGUUCACAUGUGAAAACAAAAGAGACACAUGUGAGGUCAGUUGUUCACAUGUGAAAACAAAAAAGACACAUGCGAGGUCAGUUGUUCACAUGUGAAAACAAAAGAGACACAUGUGAGGUCAGUUGUUCACAUGUGAAAACAAAAGAGACACAUGUGAGGUCAGUUGUUCACAUGUGAAAACAAAAGAGACACAUGUGAGGUCAGUUGUUCACAUGUGAAAACAAAAGAGACACAUGUGAGGUCAGUUGUUCACAUGUGAAAACAAAAAAGACACAUGCGAGGUCAGUUGUUCACAUGUGAAAACAAAAGAGACACAUGUGAGGUCAGUUGUUCACAUGUGAAAACAAAAGAGACACAUGUGAGGUCAGUUGUUCACAUGUGAAAACAAAAGAGACACAUGUGAGGUCAGUUGUUCACAUGUGAAAACAAAAGAGACACAUGUGAGGUCAGUUGUUCACAUGUGAAAACAAAAGAGACACAUGUGAGGUCAGUUGUUCACAUGUGGGAAAUACUUUCAAAUGACUUUCAAAUACAUUGUGAAAAAGUCUAAGGGGGGUGAAUACUUAUGCAAGGCACUGUAUUUCAAGAGAUCAUGUAUUCACAUGUGCAGUUUCAUGUUCUCAAGUGUUGCUUUUACAUGUUUUCAUGUUAUCACCAGUGGUGUUAAGUACAUAAGUUGUACCUUUCUUUAGUAUUCAUAUUUUUGCCAUCUUUUACUUCACUACAUUCCUAAAGAAAAUAAUGUACUUUUAAACUCCAUACAUUUUUCCCUGACACCCAAAAGUACUAGUUACUUUUUGACAGGGAAAUGGUCCAAUUCACACACUUAUCAAGAGAACAUCCCUGGUCAUCACUACUGCCUCUGAUCUGGCAGACUCACUAAACAGAAAUGCUUUGUUUGUAAAUUAGUGUCUUUGUAUUGGAGUGUGCCCCUAUAAGGAAUGUGAAAUUAAUAGUUGAACUUUUUUAGCAAUUCCAUUUACUUUUGAUACUUGAGUAAAUUUAAAAGCAAAUACUUUUAGACUUUUACGUAAGUAGUAUUUUACUGGGUGACUUUCACUUGAGUCGUUUUCUAUUAAGGUAUCUUUACUUUAACUCAAUUAUGACACUUGAGUACUUUUUCCACCACUGGUUAUCACAUUAACUUCACAUAAGAUCAUGUGAAAUUCGUGUGGUUUUUCCUUAAGGGUGUGAAGUGUGAAGUGGUAAGUCAGACAUGACUGUGCUCACAUGCUUUUGACGUCGGACCAAUUCUUCAACAAAUAAAAUGUAAUAUAUUAAAUGUUGCUAAUAAUACAAUUUAUUUACAAUACAUUUCUGAAUGUUCAGAAAGUUAAGCUUACGUAGCAAGAAUCUUAUUGACUAAAAUGAUUGAAAUUCAACAUUUCCCAGUCAGAACUCUGAACUUCAGAUGUUCCCCAAAAUGGAUUUCUUAAAUACCAAAUGAUCUUGGUUCUUCCAUCAUUUUCCCCACAUGUUCAGGCAACACUUUGAGAUAAUAUCUGACUAAGUGCAGUAGAGUACUAAGGGGUAACUAGCUCCACCUAAAAACCAUGUCUAAUUGCUGACACAAAAAAAGCAACGUUUGGGGAAAAAUGGUAUGUGAAUGAAGGUCAUGUUUAAGCGAAAAAAGGUCAUCAAGGACAAUAACCACCUGAGCGAGUACCUGUUCACCCCGCAUCCAUCCAGAAGGCGAGGUCAGUACAGGUGCAUCAACGCUGGGACAGAGAGAUUGAAAAAGAGCUUGUUAAACAGCCACCACUAGCACAGAGAGGCGGCUACCUACCUAUAGACUUGAUAUCAUUGGCCACUUUAAUAAAUGGAACACUAGUCACUUUAAUAAUGACACUUUAAGAAUGUUUACAUAUCUCGCAUUACUCAUCUUGUCACACCCUGAUCUGUUUCACCUGUCCUCGUUAUUGUCGCCACCCCCUCCAGGUGUCUGAGUGGGCAUUCUAUGUUGGAUGUCUUGUUUGUCUAUUUCUAUGUCUGGCCUGAUAUGGUUCUCAAUCAGAGGCAGGUGUUAGUCAUUGUCUCUGAUUGGGAACCAUAUUUAGGUAGCCUGGGUUUCACUGUGUGUUUGUGGGUGAUUGUUCCUGUCUCUGUGUUUUGCACCAGAUAGGGCUGUUUUUGGUUUUCCACGUUUAUUGUUUUUGUAGUGUUUGUGUUUAUCUUUUGUUAUUAAACAUGAAUUAAAAAAAACACGCUGCA